AGAGAGUUGCUCGAGUGGUUGAAGAGGCACGCCUGGAAAGUGUGUAAGGUGUCAAAGCCUUCGAGGGUUCGAAUCCCUCACUCUCUG
Molecule: transfer RNA, 87 nt
Filed under: Ignavibacteria bacterium
Lineage: Bacteria; Pseudomonadati; Ignavibacteriota; Ignavibacteria
Description: tRNA-Ser
Rfam family: tRNA
About the family: Transfer RNA (tRNA) molecules are approximately 80 nucleotides in length. Their secondary structure includes four short double-helical elements and three loops (D, anti-codon, and T loops).
Source: RNAcentral